AGGACGAACGCUGGCGGCGUGCUUAACACAUGCAAGUCGAGCGGUAAGGCCUUUCGGGGUACACGAGCGGCGAACGGGUGGGUAACACGUGGGUGAUCUGCCCUGCACUCUGGGAUAAGCCUGGGAAACUGGGUCUAAUACCGGAUAUGACCUGCUCUCGCAUGGGGGUGGUGGAAAGAUUUAUCGGUGCAGGAUGGGCCCGCGGCCUAAGUCAGCUUGUUGGUGGGGUAAUGGCCUACCAAGGCGACGACGGUAG
RNAcentral lists this ribosomal RNA (256 nucleotides) under uncultured soil bacterium. Its description in RNAcentral is "partial 16S ribosomal RNA". It matches the Rfam family "Bacterial small subunit ribosomal RNA", at positions 26 to 286 of the family's 1533-position model. The record is from RNAcentral.